This is a long non-coding RNA of Oncorhynchus tshawytscha (Chinook salmon), 714 nucleotides long. The record is from Ensembl. Lineage: Eukaryota; Metazoa; Chordata; Actinopteri; Salmoniformes; Salmonidae.
UGGCUGUGAGUCCUGUGUGACGUGUGACCUCAGGGAUGGUGGAGAGGUCAGAGAGGGUGCCACUCAUGGAUGUGGUCAGGAACUCACUCCUGGAGUGUCUUUUCUGUUCCUGAAAGGCCAGGCCGGCCGUUCCACAGCUACAGUGCUGCAGGAAGAAGUCCUGGGGGACAGACAGGAAGAGAGGGUACAGGACUACCACAGAUCUGCUUCUGCAGCCUGACGUUGUGCUCCUGGAGCUGACCAAUCUUCUCGAUGAGCUGGCAGAUGUGCUCCAGGUAGCCCAGUCCGGAGCCCAGAGGGUUGGAGCUGGCUUGGUGGACCUGAAGAAUCAAAGAGAGGAGGGUUUGGUGAGCUUAGUGAGGUCAUAGGUCUCUGUAGGGCUGCUAAUUUAACUUUUGCGGUUGAGAACUAGAUGUGAAAUGUACAGAUUGUGUUUCAAGACACUACCACAUGUUCUCUGAGGAAAGGUUGUAAGAAUGUGUUUUUUGUAUAGUUCCCUAUCUUUACAAUGGGUAACCAGUAAGCAAUGGGAUUUACUGGGCUACUGCUUGUAGGUAAUUCAACUGUGUGUUUUUAUGAGGGGAAGAGAGAGAGAGAGAGCUGUAAUCUAUUGUUGAGGUAAACGGUCAAAUGAUUUCAGUGGUUUAUAUCGCUCUGUCAUUCCUUUGUCAUGCCUAAUAAAAGUCUAAACCAUUGACUGGUCCCUAAUCCACC